CGAACGCUGGCGGCGUGCUUAACACAUGCAAGUCGAACGGUGACCCUCAGAGCUUGCUCUGAGGUGAUCAGUGGCGAACGGGUGAGUAACACGUGAGUAACCUACCCCAGACUCUGGAAUAAGCGCUGGAAACGGCGUCUAAUACCGGAUAUGAGACGGAGUCGCAUGACUACCGUCUGGAAAGUUUUUCGGUCUGGGAUGGACUCGCGGCCUAUCAGCUUGUUGGUGAGGUAAUGGCUCACCAAGGCGACGACGGGUAGCCGGCCUGGGAGGGCGAUCGGCCACACUGGGACUGAGACACGGCCCAGACUCCUACGGGAGGCAGCAGUGGGGAAUAUUGCACAAUGGGCGAAAGCCUGAUGCAGCGACGCCGCGUGAGGGAUGAAGGUCUUCGGAUUGUAAACCUCUUUCAGCAGGGAAGAAGCGAAAGUGACGGUACCUGCAGAAGAAGCACCGGCUAACUACGU
This 467-nucleotide ribosomal RNA is filed under the name uncultured bacterium. Its description in RNAcentral is "bacterial SSU rRNA". It matches the Rfam family "Bacterial small subunit ribosomal RNA", at positions 30 to 506 of the family's 1533-position model. The record is from RNAcentral.